This 497-nucleotide ribosomal RNA is filed under the name uncultured bacterium. Its description in RNAcentral is "partial 16S ribosomal RNA". It matches the Rfam family "Bacterial small subunit ribosomal RNA", at positions 28 to 507 of the family's 1533-position model. The record is from RNAcentral.
GAUGAACGCUGGCGGCGUGCCUAAUACAUGCAAGUCGAGCGGACGGACGAGACGCUUGCUUCUCUGAUGUUAGCGGCGGGCGGGUGAGUAACACGUGUAUACCCUCCCUAUCAGACGGGGAUAACUUCGGGAAACGGUAGCUAAUACCGGAUGAUAUUUUGCACCGCGUGGUUCAAAAGUGAAAGACGGUCUUGCUGGCACUUAUAGAUGGAUCCGCGCUGCAUUAGCUAGUUGUUAAGGUAACGGCUUACCAAGGCAACGAGGCAUAGCCGACCGGAGAGGGGGAUAGGCCACAUUGGAACGGAGACACGGACAAGACGCCUACGGGAGGCAGCAGUAGGGAAUCGUACGCAAUGGGCGAAAGCCUGACGGAGCAACGCCGCGUGAGUGAUGAAGGUCUUCGGAUCGUAAAAAUCUGUUAUGAGGGAAGAACAGAUGUGGAAGGAACUGUGCACAGCUUGACGGUAACGAAUCAGAAAGCCACGGCUAACUACGUG